GAAAAGGGCACUUGCCGUCAGUGGCACGCGUUUGUUUCUGUAGAGGAACUUCGUGCGGAAUCGCCAUCAAGAGAUUUCGAGUGUAUAAUCUUUUGAACCGUGGGCUGUUGGUUUCGCUUAAACCGGCGCCCCU
Small nuclear RNA from Hydra vulgaris (swiftwater hydra), 133 nucleotides. RefSeq annotates it as U11 spliceosomal RNA. The record is from RefSeq and is a predicted model, not a curated record. Lineage: Eukaryota; Metazoa; Cnidaria; Hydrozoa; Anthoathecata; Hydridae.